AGAGUUUGAUCCUGGCUCAGAACGAACGCUGGCGGCAGGCUUAACACAUGCAAGUCGAACGCAUCCUUCGGGGUGAGUGGCAGACGGGUGAGUAACGCGUGGGAACGUGCCCUUCAGUUCGGGAUAACCCAGGGAAACUUGGGCUAAUACCGGAUACGUGCGAGAGCAGAAAGAUUUAUCGCUGAAGGAUCGGCCCGCGUCUGAUUAGCUAGUUGGUGGGGUAAUGGCCCACCAAGGCGACGAUCAGUAGCUGGUCUGAGAGGAUGAUCAGCCACAUUGGGACUGAGACACGGCCCAAACUCCUACGGGAGGCAGCAGUGGGGAAUAUUGGACAAUGGGCGCAAGCCUGAUCCAGCCAUGCCGCGUGAGUGAUGAAGGCCUUAGGGUUGUAAAGCUCUUUCGUCCGGGACGAUAAUGACGGUACCGGAAGAAGAAGCCCCGGCUAACUUCGUGCCAGCAGCCGCGGUAAUACGAAGGGGGCUAGCGUUGUUCGGAAUCACUGGGCGUAAAGGGCGCGUAGGCGGCUUUGUAAGUCGGGGGUGAAAGCCUGUGGCUCAACCACAGAAUUGCCUUCGAUACUGCAUGGCUUGAGACCGGAAGAGGUAAGUGGAACUGCGAGUGUAGAGGUGAAAUUCGUAGAUAUUCGCAAGAACACCAGUGGCGAAGGCGGCUUACUGGUCCGGUUCUGACGCUGAGGCGCGAAAGCGUGGGGAGCAAACAGGAUUAGAUACCCCAGUAGUCC
RNAcentral lists this ribosomal RNA (742 nucleotides) under uncultured bacterium. RNAcentral's name for it is "bacterial SSU rRNA". It matches the Rfam family "Bacterial small subunit ribosomal RNA", at positions 8 to 796 of the family's 1533-position model. The record is from RNAcentral.